RNAcentral lists this transfer RNA (70 nucleotides) under Pseudoxanthomonas composti. Its description in RNAcentral is "Pseudoxanthomonas sp. GSS15 tRNA-His". Lineage: Bacteria; Pseudomonadati; Pseudomonadota; Gammaproteobacteria; Lysobacterales; Lysobacteraceae. The record is from RNAcentral.
GGGCGGUAGCUCACCUGGAGAGAGCGCCGGCAUGUACGGAGGGUCCGGUUCGAGUCCGGAACGCCCACCA